Molecule: long non-coding RNA, 207 nt
Filed under: Spirodela polyrhiza (greater duckweed)
Lineage: Eukaryota; Viridiplantae; Streptophyta; Magnoliopsida; Alismatales; Araceae
Description: long non-coding RNA (SPOL_LNC002140)
Source: RNAcentral
UCAGUUCUUCACGCCCUUUUAGAAUGCGAUUGUGCCAUCAAACAUGGAAAGGCAUCAUAGCCAGAGGGGUCUCAAUGGGGGAUAGGGUCCCAAAUGGGAAUAGCUUCUUCGACCUCAAGGGCCUUUCCGUGAGGGAAUAUCAGGAAGAUGAAACAAACUGUAGAGCUCAGCAUACGAAAUUAUUGAGAGAGAGAGAGAGAGAGAGAG